GUUUUCAUUCCUUCCAGUCAAAGCAGAAAGAGAUUUUCCUGCCAUUUGGACCUGUCUUCCUGCAAAACUCAUGGAUUUGCAUAUCAUAUUUUACUGUAUUUUACUUAUUUCAGAUUUUGUGUUUAUGAGGUACUGAAACAAAGGCUUGACCCCUCACAGUUUUAAGGGAUGCAGAAUACCCUUUGGGAACAGAGAUGGAUUGCUGUCAUCGGGUCAUCCUAUGUCUGCCUCCAGAGGUGGCCGUGAUACUGAAGAACAGUGAGGGGCCAGUAAGUAGUGGAAGAGGGUGUCCUUUCACACUCCUUCCAGAAUUCCCUACCUUUUCUUAAUAGCCCUUUUGUUUACCUUGGAGUUUAUCCAAAUCUUCAUUUAAACAAAUAUCUUUGGCUUCAAGAAGACACAGGAUUGGUCAUGUCUCAUCAUCUUUAUUUCUACUUCUCCCUGACAUGUGGAGAAGUCCUAUAGUUGAUCUUCUUUACCGAGACUUCAGUUUAAAAAGAACUUUAAUAAACUAAUUUACUUUAGUGAUGUAACUUAAUAUAAUUUAGUGAUGACACAAAACUAAAUCUGAAACAUUUAGAAUAGUAUUUUAUUAAAAAUAAAUUACUUUCCCUUCCCU
RNAcentral lists this long non-coding RNA (619 nucleotides) under Homo sapiens (human). RNAcentral describes it as "HSALNT0297745". The record is from RNAcentral. Lineage: Eukaryota; Metazoa; Chordata; Mammalia; Primates; Hominidae.